AACGCACCUUGCGCCCCUUGGUAUUCCGAGGGGCAUGCCUGUUCGAGUGUCUUGAAUUCAUCGCGGCCUGAGGUUUCCUUCCUCGGGCCCGCGGAAGUGGGGGCCUGCCGCGGCGACGCGGCUCCCCUCAAAUGCAUCGGUGGGGUCCGCAACGGGCAUCCCGGGCGUUGUACUGUCCUCGUCCGACACGGGUGUUUCUCCGCGUCCCCCUCCCCGACCGUUUUCCGCGCGAGCGGCGGUCAAACCUUUACACUUUGAAAUCUGACCUCGAAUCAGGUAGGACUACCCGCUGAACUUAA
Molecule: unclassified non-coding RNA, 299 nt
Filed under: uncultured fungus
Lineage: Eukaryota; Fungi
Description: partial contains 5.8S ribosomal RNA, internal transcribed spacer 2, and large subunit ribosomal RNA
Rfam family: 5.8S ribosomal RNA (bases 1-52)
Source: RNAcentral